AAUGGCCGCAGCUCUCGCCUGUGAUGCUUAGGGAGUCGAUGUCGAAGUCCAACCCCAUCGUGCUGAAAUGGCCUCGGUGGAACUCCUUUAUGGGGGUCACAAGCAUUUUUGGGGGAAGGCUGCCGUCAGCCUUCGUUGCCUUUUCAUGUUCUAUAGCUAUUGCUAGAUGUGAUCAUUGCCAGUUCUUCUCGAUGUUUUCUACUCAAGCUAGCAUGGUGGCCAUCUGAUCUCCCAUCCUCUUGAUCUCCACGACCAGCU
Molecule: long non-coding RNA, 258 nt
Filed under: Elaeis guineensis (African oil palm)
Lineage: Eukaryota; Viridiplantae; Streptophyta; Magnoliopsida; Arecales; Arecaceae
Description: long non-coding RNA (EGUI_LNC033341)
Source: RNAcentral